UACGUAGGGUGCGAGCGUUGUCCGGAAUUAUUGGGCGUAAAGGGCUCGUAGGCGGUCUGUUGCGUCGGGAGUGAAAACUCAGGGCUUAACCCUGAGCCUGCAGUGGGUACGGGCAGACUAGAGUGCGGUAGGGGAGAUUGGAAUUCCUGGUGUAGCGGUGGAAUGCGCAGAUAUCAGGAGGAACACCAAUGGCGAAGGCAGAUCUCUGGGCCGUAACUGACGCUGAGGAGCGAAAGCAUGGGGAGCAAACAGG
Molecule: ribosomal RNA, 253 nt
Filed under: uncultured bacterium
Lineage: Bacteria
Description: partial 16S ribosomal RNA
Rfam family: Bacterial small subunit ribosomal RNA
Source: RNAcentral